CUCAGAGCGCCUCAGUCACAGAGCAGGGGGGAGAAACUGACUUCAUUACUGAGGGAAUAACUGGUUCUGCAUGAGGAAACACUCAAUAACGACUCUGACAGAGAGGACAGUCAUGGGAAUCCAGAAGCCAGAGUUUCACCCAUAAACAACAAAAGACGGACUCCCCCCUCAGACACGCCUCC
This is a long non-coding RNA of Danio aesculapii, 182 nucleotides long. RefSeq lists it as uncharacterized. NCBI's taxonomy places the organism in Eukaryota, Metazoa, Chordata, Actinopteri, Cypriniformes, Danionidae. The record is from RefSeq and is a predicted model, not a curated record. The transcript has 3 exons.